Molecule: ribosomal RNA, 896 nt
Filed under: uncultured bacterium
Lineage: Bacteria
Description: bacterial SSU rRNA
Rfam family: Bacterial small subunit ribosomal RNA
Source: RNAcentral
ACGAUGAAUCUUCUAGCUUGCUAGAAGUGGAUUAGUGGCGCACGGGUGAGUAAUGCAUAGGUUAUGUGCCCUUUAGUCUGGGAUAGCCACUGGAAACGGUGAUUAAUACUGGAUACUCCCUACGGGGGAAAGUUUUUCGCUAAAGGAUCAGCCUAUGUCCUAUCAGCUUGUUGGUGAGGUAAUGGCUCACCAAGGCUAUGACGGGUAUCCGGCCUGAGAGGGUGAUCGGACACACUGGAACUGAGACACGGUCCAGACUCCUACGGGAGGCAGCAGUAGGGAAUAUUGCUCAAUGGGGGAAACCCUGAAGCAGCAACGCCGCGUGGAGGAUGAAGGUUUUAGGAUUGUAAACUCCUUUUGUUAGAGAAGAUUAUGACGGUAUCUAACGAAUAAGCACCGGCUAACUCCGUGCCAGCAGCCGCGGUAAUACGGAGGGUGCAAGCGUUACUCGGAAUCACUGGGCGUAAAGAGUGCGUAGGCGGGGUAAUAAGUCAGAUGUGAAAUCCUGUAGCUUAACUACAGAACUGCAUUUGAAACUGUUACUCUGGAGUGUGGGAGAGGUAGGUGGAAUUCUUGGUGUAGGGGUAAAAUCCGUAGAGAUCAAGAGGAAUACUCAUUGCGAAGGCGACCUGCUGGAACAUUACUGACGCUGAUGCACGAAAGCGUGGGGAGCAAACAGGAUUAGAUACCCUGGUAGUCCACGCCCUAAACGAUGGAUGCUAGUUGUUGCCUUGCUUGUCAGGGCAGUAAUGCAGCUAACGCAUUAAGCAUCCCGCCUGGGGAGUACGGUCGCAAGAUUAAAACUCAAAGGAAUAGACGGGGACCCGCACAAGCGGUGGAGCAUGUGGUUUAAUUCGAAGAUACGCGAAGAACCUUACCUAGGCUUGACAUUGAUA